AUCCUGAGAACUGUUUGCUAAUCUUGUUCCCAGAAUGUGCUGUCCCCAACUGCCAAACUGCAGAAUGCACUCCCUCACUUGGUUGCAGGCAAACUGCCCACUCGCCCUGACCAGUCAAUGAACUUCCCUCCCUGCCCUCUCCAAGAAAACUAUAUAAGCUCUGCUUAAGCUGUUCCCAGUGCUCUAUCUCUCUUUGUUCUAGUGAGCCCUGAGCCCCAGCAUGCUGGUCUCCAAAUAAACCCUUUUUGCUGUUGCAUGAGACAGUCUCUUGGUGGUCUCUUCCUCCGAUGUUUCGCUGGUCCCUUACAUUUGGUGCAUUGCCCGGGAAGUGCGCAUCGCCGGACAGGGAGACCCCAACAGACUCCUUUGGGGGCCUACUUGGGAUGACUGCCAGCAACCCUUAGGCACUCUCUUCAUGACAGAGGAAUGAGAGAGAAUCCUCCUGGAAGCUAGAAAAAAAAUAUCCUCGGACCAGAUGAGUGACCAACAUAACUUCCCAACAUAAUCGAAGCCAACUUCCCCUUGAACCGACCAAACUGGGACCCCAACACCUUUGAAGAGAUCUCAACAACUUCAAAACCAUGCACCCUGAAGUCACCCUACUCCAAUAUGUGGAUGACCUGCUACUGGCAGCAGACACCAAGGAAAACUAUACAUUUUCAGGAUGGAUAGAAGCCUUCCCCACAAAAAGAGAAAUGGUGCAAAUGGUGGUCAAGAAGAUCCUGGAAGAUAUUUUUCCAAGAUACGGCCUGCCUAAGGUAAUAGGGUCUGAUAAUGGACCGGCGUUCGUGGCCCAGACUUAAAGCUCUUGAAAGAACCCAGCGAUACCUGUGAAAACAGCUGGCCACUUCCUACCAACCUGGAGACGAAGGGACUCCACAUCGAUAUCAAUUGGGGAACUUCGUCUACGUAAGAUGACAUCAGGUGUCAUCCCUAGAACCCCGCUGGAAAGGACCAUACCAGGUGCUACUUAUAACACCUACAGCGGUAAAGGUAGACGGAAUCACUUCCUGGAUCCAGGCCUCUCAUGUCAAGCCUGCGCCCUGUCCAGACUCUGGCUGGAAAUUGGAAAAGACUGGUAACCCUCUCAAAUUGCGUAUUCGCCAUGUGGAUAUGGCUAUGGAUUCUCCCCAUGAUCACCAGUAGUCCUAACCCUCAUCCUCCCGUUCAGCAGCGAUGGCUGAUCACAAAUCCUACUGGACAGGAAGUAUGGUCUAUCUCGCAUACAGCCCCCUUAGGGACCUGGUGGCCAUCUCUUCACCCAGACAUUUGUCAGCUGGCUAUAGGCCUUUCCUAUUGGGACAUCCCUGAUGAAAAAGAUCCCACUAAAAUUCCAUUAAAUCCCUUCCGUACCAUAGAUAAUGGAAACAAACAUUAUGGAUGUAGGGACAUGCAAGCCAGAUGUAGGUUGGCUAGCCUGGAUUAUUAUGUUUGCCCGGCGGACUAUCGAAACUGCAAACAGUCACAGCUGUGUGGGGGAAAAGCCGACUUCUUCUGUAAGUCAUGGGGAUGUGAGCAUACAGGGGCUGUCUGGUGGAACCCAAACUCCCCUGAUAGUCUGAUUCGGGUAAAAAGAAAUAAUACUAAGUUAAAUCCCAAACAAUGUCUCCCAUUUAAACGGAGCCCCCAAGCGGGGACUUCUGGACUAGUUGACCCUACUCCAUGUGACACAAAUAGCCUAUGCAACCCCCUAAAUAUAACCUUCACCUCCAAAGGAAGAAACCAAAAUAUCUGGGUAUGACUUUCAGGAAAAACCUAUGGAAUGCAAUUUUACACCACAGGAUAUGAUUUUGGCCUUUGGUUCACUAUCAGGUUUGAGAGAAAAGAAAUUCCCUUGGCCAUAGGGCCCAAUCCCCUCAAGCCAGGAAUUGGGCCUCAUAGACAACCCAAACCUAAAUCUACAAGGGCCCUUUCACUUUCCCAUACUCCUCAAGUUUCACCUUCAUUUACUUCCCCAAUCCAGAGUGAAGUCAACCCUUUCCCCUGGGGGCUAAUUGAAGGAGCCUUUGCGGUGCUGAAUUUCACACAACCAGACCUCACUCAGUCUUGUUGGCUCUGUCUCUCCUCUGCUCCUCCUUACUAUAAAGGGAUAGCAAUUAAUGGGACUGAUGCAGUAAAAGCGCAGAGUUCCUCCUGUAAUUGGGGUGAAAAUCCUAAUUUAACCCUCCCAGAAGUAACCGGGGCAGGCUUAUGUAUAGGGUCUCCACCUAAAAGUAAACAACACUUAUGUACCCAGAUAAAAAAUAUUGGCAUCACACAGGGUUUCCUUACUCCUGAAAAUGGAACUUUGUGGGCAUGUGACACAGGGUUAACUCCUUGAAUUUCAGCCCAGAUAUUUAACAGCUCUGUAAAUUAUUGUGUAAUGGUGCAGAUGUUUCCCAGAGUGCUCUAUCAUGAUGCAGGUUCAUUUGAAGAUCAAAUAGGGGUGCAUACAAUCCAGUUUUACCGGGAACCUGUAUCCCCCACUUUAGCAAUCUUAUUAGGAAUGGGAAUUGCUGCAGGGGUGGGCACAGGGACCACUGCCCCGGUCCAUGGGACACAACAAAUGACCCAAUUAGAAAGAGCAAUGGACCAAAACUUAAAGAUAUUAGAAACAUCCAUCAAAGCUUUGCAGGAAUCUUUAACCUCUCUCUCUCUGAAGUUGUUUUACAGAACAGGCGAGGGUUGGGCCUCCUCUUCAUGAGAGAAGAGGGCCUUUGUGCUGCAUUGAGGGAAGAAUGUUGUUUUUAUGCCGACCAUACUGGAGUUGUAAAAGAAUCUAUGAGCAAACUAAGAAGACGCCUUGAAGAGAGUCAGAGAGAGAGAGAGAGAGGCCCAAAAAGGGUGGUAUGAGUCUUGGUUCACACAGUCCCCCUGGUUAACUACGCUUUUAUCAGCCCUGGCCGGUCCUUUAAUAAUUCUUAUAUUGUUGCUAACUCUAGCACCCUGUUUGCUCAACCGUGUAGUUUCCUUUCUCCAAGCCCAAAUUGGACAAGUCAAACUUAUGGUAAUCAGACAACAAUAUACCCCACUAGCAGACACAGAAUGUGACACCCCCAAUGAUCACUUUUAUGAUUAAAAGUAGCCAGAAGAAGAAGUGGGGAAUGAAUGGUUAAUAAAAUAGGUACUUGUCAUUCCGUUUUUCUGUAUGUUUAACAAAACACUGUUGAAAUCCUGAGAACUGUUUGCUAAUCUUGUUCCCAGAAUGUGCUGUCCCCAACUGCCAAACUGCAGAAUGCACUCCUUCACUUGGUUGCAGGCAAACUGCCCACUCGCCUUGACCCGUCAAUGAACUUCCCUCCCUGCCCUCUCCAAGAAAACUAUAUAAGUUCUGCUUAAGCUGUUCCCAAUGCUCUAUCUCUCUUUGCUCUAGAGAGCUCUGAGCCCCAGCAUGCUGGUAUCCAAAUAAACCCUUUUUGCUGUUGCAUGA
Long non-coding RNA from Marmota monax (woodchuck), 3409 nucleotides. RefSeq lists it as uncharacterized. Lineage: Eukaryota; Metazoa; Chordata; Mammalia; Rodentia; Sciuridae. The transcript is spliced from 5 exons. The record is from RefSeq and is a predicted model, not a curated record.